RNAcentral lists this long non-coding RNA (782 nucleotides) under Eutrema salsugineum. RNAcentral describes it as "long non-coding RNA (ESAL_LNC002097)". Lineage: Eukaryota; Viridiplantae; Streptophyta; Magnoliopsida; Brassicales; Brassicaceae. The record is from RNAcentral.
AUUAUCAAACUCAGCUCACUCGGAUGGAUUUGAUACACAACAUAAAAAUGGUCAUAACUUUCUGUUCACAGCUCGGAAUUGAUAUCUGAAGAUUGAUCUGGAAAGCUGGGUCGAAGAUCUUCACGCCGGUAUAUAGAUCGUCUUCUGGAUCUUCCUAGAUCGCCGGAAAAACGCAUCUCAAGUUAGCUGCUCGCGGAUUGGAUUCUGCACAGAUAUGCCUCGGGAAAACACCUAUAACUUUCAAACCAUAACUCCAAAUAAUGAACGGCUUUCGGUUAUAUCUAGAUCUAAGGGUCAGGAACAUUCUCACCAAUUUUCAGGUCGAUCGGACUUCAAAUAAGUCGUCCACAGUCCUUUGAAGUUGCUGCGUCGAAGCAGAUUUCUGAGUUACAAGAUGAUGCAGAUGAUACUUGCGCAGAAAGAAAGCUUCGUUGUGGCCUGACCUUAACUCCGAUGACAAUGCCGUUUUCUCCUACGGCUUCAUUGCAUUGAGAUCUUUCCAGAAACACCUUGAUCACGGUUUAACUCUCUCUGAAACAGCGGGAAUCGCAUUCACAAAACCCCAUCUUGAAUCUGUGUCUUUUCCCUCAACUCUCUUCUCUUUUUCUUCUCUUCUCUUUCUUCUCUUCUCUUCUCUUAUGGCGCAGCUGUUUCUCUUCUCCAUUUUUUUUUGUUUCAUUAGUUUUGGUUUAGGUAUUUUGGUUUAGAGAAAAAGAAAUUAAAAUAUGGAUUUGGGCUUAAUGACGGUUAAAGGAAUAGGAUUAGAGUUUAAAGUUUUAAAA